Molecule: ribosomal RNA, 324 nt
Filed under: Sandonidae sp.
Lineage: Eukaryota; Cercozoa; Glissomonadida; Sandonidae
Description: SSU rRNA
Rfam family: Eukaryotic small subunit ribosomal RNA (bases 62-324)
Source: RNAcentral
GAUUUCUGGCUUGAAACAUUUUGCCGGCCACGGUUUCGUGUGUUAGUGCUUGAUGUUCUGGCCAUCCUUCCAAUUGCUAUUCACUUCUCUUCAUUGAUUGGUGAGUGGUAUUGGAUCUUUUACUUUGAAAAAAUUAGAGUGUUUCAAGCAGGCUACAAUUGCUAUGAAUACAUUAGCAUGGAAUAAUAAGUUAGGACUUCGGUUCUAUUUUGUUGGUUUCUAGAGCUGAAGUAAUGAUUGAUAGGGAUAGUUGGGGGUGCUAGUAUUCAGCGGCCAGAGGUGAAAUUCUUGGAUUCGCUGAAGACUAACUUAUGCGAAAGCAUU